Nothobranchius furzeri (turquoise killifish) is the source of this 2194-nucleotide long non-coding RNA. The record is from Ensembl. Lineage: Eukaryota; Metazoa; Chordata; Actinopteri; Cyprinodontiformes; Nothobranchiidae.
CCUGCUUCAUCCCCGGUCUGGAUCCCCGUCUUAGCUCCUCUCCACUCCGCAGCACGUCGUGACAGAAUGACAACACCUGUUACCGGACCCAGCGGGGAAAUUCUUCCGUGGGAGAACCUGCUCCAGUGGCUUACCCCGAUCCACCAGCCGGCUUCUCCCUCUCCAGCCCCAGCUCCGCCUCUCUGCCGCCGGCGUCCCCGACCGUCAGCCUCGGCGUUUCUCGCUGCCCUUCCGGAACCGGACAGGAGUUGGGAUGGGGAGACGCUCCUGGAUCGCUUCAGCUAUGAGGGCACGAGGCUGGCGAUCUGCUCCCCUGGAGUCGGUCCACGGCGUGGGGAAAAACGCCCGGACUCCACCACCAUCCGGGAUCUCCAGACGGAGCUGUGAGCCCGCUUCUGCCCCUGCCCGGCACGGCUGUUCGGACAUGCCCACGGCCAGACCACCAGUCCCGUCUCCUGCCGAACCGGCGCCUCCGUCACCUGCAGAGGAAGGAGCAGCAAUCGCAGCCCGGCUGAUAGAGCAACGGGCGGAGCUCGGCCGGUUCCGCGAGCUCCUCAGCCGCCAGGAGUCUCACCUGGAUGAUCUAUCCUCCUCGUCUCAGGGCCAGGGGAGCGAGUGCGGGGUUCACCCAGCGGAGCUCGCCGGUCAGCGGACUGAGCUGGCCCAGCUCCGUUGGGCGCUCAGCCUCAGGGAGCUAGAGCUGGACGAGCUGACCUCCCGGCCCAGCCUGCUCUCCUAGCAGCGGCCCUGCUACCGACCCGGAAGCAGAUGGUACCGGAUCCGGUCCAAAACUCGGCAGUCCAGAAGUCGAGGGACCAGAAGCCGACACCUCCGGGCCAGAAGCAGACGGUACCGGCCCAUAAGCCGACGGAGCGGGCCCAGAGGCAGAGGGUACCGACCCGGAAGCAGAUGGUACCGGAUCCAGUCCAAAACUCGGCGGUCCAGAAGUCGAGGGACCAGAAGCUGACUCCUCCGGGCCAGAAGCAGACGGCUCCGGUUCCGGUCCAGAGGUCGACGUUCCGAAAAUCGAAGGACCAGAAGUCGACGCCCCCGGACCCGAAGCUGACGCCCCCGGACCAGAAGUCGAUGGUGGUCGACGCCCGUUCCUGUUCUGAAGUCGACGCCCGUUCCUGUUCUGAAGUCGACACCCGUUUCUGUUCUGAAGUCGACGCCCGUUCCUGUUCUGAAGUCGACGCCCGAUCCUGUUCUGAAGUCGACGCCUGUUUCUGUUCUGAAGUCGACGUGUCCGCAGUCGUCCCCGCUGAAGUUGGCUCGUCUGACGUCGUCUCCUCCUCUGAAGUCGACGUGUCUGAAGUUGGCUCGUCUGAUGACGUUGCCUCCUCCUCUGAAGUCGGCUCGUCUGAUGACGUCGCCGCCCCCUCAGAAGUCGGCUCGUCUGACGACGUCGCCGCCCCUGAAGUCGGCUCGUCUGACGACGUAGCCUCCCCUGAAGUCGGCUCGUCUGACGACGUAGCGUCCCCUGAAGUCGGCUCGUCUGACGACGUCACCUCCCCUGAAGUCGGCUCGUCUGACGACGUCGCCUCCCCUGAAGUCGCCUCCUCUGAAGUCGGCUCGUCUGAUGACGUCACCUCCUCUGAGGUCGGCUCAUCUGACGUCGCCUCCCAAGUCGCCUCCUCUGAUGUCGGCCCGUCUGAUGACGUCGCCUCCCAAGUCGCCUCGUCUGAAGUCGGCUCGUCUGAUGACGUCGCCUCCCAGGUCGGCUCAUCUGAUGACGUCGCUUCCCAGGUCAGCUCGUCUGAUGACGUCGCCUCCCAAGUCGGCUCGUCUGACGACGUCGCCUCUCAAGUCGCCUCCUCUGAAGUCGGCUCGUCUGAUGACGUCGCCUCCCAAGUCGGCUCGUCUGAUGACGUCGCCUCCCAGGUCGGCUCGUCUGAUGACGUCGCCUCCCAGGUCGGCUCGUCUGAUGACGUCGCCUCCCAGGUCGGCUCGUCUGAUGAUGUCGCCUCGUCUGAGGAUGCUCUCUGCACUCCAGAGGUUGACGCUCCUUCCGGUCCAGCAUCCCCACCGUCUCCGGUUCCGAUGGUGGUUCUGGAGGUCGCUCCGGCCCAGCCUGCAGAGACUUUGUCACCGGCCCAGCCUGCAGAGACCUUGUCACCGGCCCAGCCUGCAGAGGUCCUCUAUCGUAGACGCAGGCCCCCAAGGGCCCAUCGCCUCCUCCUCUGCCGCAGGCGCC